Molecule: ribosomal RNA, 377 nt
Filed under: uncultured eukaryote
Lineage: Eukaryota
Description: partial 18S ribosomal RNA
Rfam family: Eukaryotic small subunit ribosomal RNA
Source: RNAcentral
CAAUAGCGUAUAUUUAAGUUGCUGCAGUUAAAAAGUUCGUAGUUGGAUUUCGGGUGGGAAUGGCCGGUCCGCCGUUUCGGUGUGCACUUGCUACGCCCACCUUGCUGCCGGGGACGUGCUCUUGAGUUCACGCUCGGGACACGGAGUCGGCGAGGUUACUUUGAGUAAAUUAGAGUGUUCAAAGCAGGCCUACGUUCUGAAUACAUUAGCAUGGAAUAACACGAUAGGACUCUGGCCUAUCUUGUUGGUCUGUAGGACCGGAGUAAUGAUUAAGAGGGACAGUCGGGGGCAUUCGUAUUGCAUUGUCAGAGGUGAAAUUCUUGGAUUUAUGAAAGACGAACUACUGCGAAAGCAUUUGCCAAGGAUGUUUUCAUUAA